UGGCUCUGUAGAAGAUGGAGAUGAGUUAUUAGCCAGAUUUAUGAAUAGCUUCCAAAACAAUGGUGAGAAGCCUUCAACUUACCUGCACAGAUUACAAGUUCUCUUAAGCACAGCUAUUCGACGAGGUGGGAUAUUUGAAGAAGAGAGAAACCGAUAUCUUCUAAAGCAGUUUUGUCGCGGCUGUUGGGACAAAACUGCUUUAGAAUGA
Non-coding RNA from Danio rerio (zebrafish), 208 nucleotides. The record is from RefSeq and is a predicted model, not a curated record. Lineage: Eukaryota; Metazoa; Chordata; Actinopteri; Cypriniformes; Danionidae.